RNAcentral lists this ribosomal RNA (254 nucleotides) under uncultured bacterium. RNAcentral's name for it is "partial 16S ribosomal RNA". It matches the Rfam family "Bacterial small subunit ribosomal RNA", at positions 524 to 776 of the family's 1533-position model. The record is from RNAcentral.
UACGGGGGGAGCAAGCGUUGUUCGGAUUUACUAGGCGUUAAAGGGCGCGUAGGCGGCGUGACAAGUCACUUGUGAAAUCUCCGGGCUUAACUCGGAACGGUCCAAGUGAUACUGUCGUGCUAGAGUACAGAAGGGGCAACUGGAAUUCUCGGUGUAGCGGUGAAAUGCGUAGAUAUCGAGAGGAACACCUGCGGCGAAGGCGGGUUGCUGGGCUGAUACUGACGCUGAGGCGCGAAAGCCAGGGAGCGAACGGG